UCCCAGUUCGGAUCGGAGUCUGCAACCCGACUCCGUGAAGCUGGAUUCGCUAGUAAUCGCGCAUCAGCCAUGGCGCGGUGAAUACGUUCCCGGGCCUUGUACACACCGCCCGUCAAGCCAUGGGAGCCGGGGGUGCUUGAAGUGCGUCGCCGCAAGGCGCGCCCUAGAGCAAAACCGGUGACUGGGGCUAAGUCGUAACAAGGUAAC
RNAcentral lists this ribosomal RNA (207 nucleotides) under uncultured bacterium. RNAcentral describes it as "partial 16S ribosomal RNA". It matches the Rfam family "Bacterial small subunit ribosomal RNA", at positions 1286 to 1500 of the family's 1533-position model. The record is from RNAcentral.